RNAcentral lists this ribosomal RNA (253 nucleotides) under uncultured bacterium. RNAcentral's name for it is "partial 16S ribosomal RNA". It matches the Rfam family "Bacterial small subunit ribosomal RNA", at positions 524 to 776 of the family's 1533-position model. The record is from RNAcentral.
UACAGAGGUCCCGAGCGUUGUUCGGAUUUAUUGGGCGUAAAGGGUGCGUAGGCGGCGGAGUAAGUUGGGUGUGAAAUCCCGGGGCUCAACCUCGGAAUUGCAUUCGAUACUGCUUCGCUCGAGUACUGGAGAGGAGGCUGGAAUUUACGGUGUAGCAGUGAAAUGCGUAGAUAUCGUAAGGAAGGCCGGUGGCGAAAGCGAGCCUCUGGACAGUUACUGACGCUGAUGCACGAAGGCCAGGGGAGCAAACGGG